GUGCUUGUUUUGGCAGCACAUAUAUGAAAAUUGGAACGAUAUAGACUAGAUUAGCGUGGCCCCUGUGCAAGGAUGACACACAAAUUCUUGAAGCAUUCCAUAUUUUU
Small nuclear RNA from Ornithorhynchus anatinus (platypus), 107 nucleotides. The record is from RefSeq and is a predicted model, not a curated record. NCBI's taxonomy places the organism in Eukaryota, Metazoa, Chordata, Mammalia, Monotremata, Ornithorhynchidae.